This 301-nucleotide ribosomal RNA is filed under the name uncultured bacterium. RNAcentral's name for it is "partial 16S ribosomal RNA". It matches the Rfam family "Bacterial small subunit ribosomal RNA", at positions 509 to 807 of the family's 1533-position model. The record is from RNAcentral.
CAGUAGCCGCGGGAAUACGAAGGGUGCAAGCGUUACUCGGAAUUACUGGGCGUAAAGCGUGCGUAGGUGGUGGUUUAAGUCCGUUGUGAAAGCCCUGGGCUCAACCUGGGAAUUGCAGUGGAUACUGGAUCACUAGAGUGUGGUAGAGGAUAGUGGAAUUCCCGGUGUAGCAGUGAAAUGCGUAGAGAUCGGAAGGAACAUCUGUGGCGAAGGCGACUAUCUGGGCCAACACUGACACUGAGGCACGAAAGCGUGGGGAGCAAACAGGAUUAGAUACCCGAGUAGUCCCUGUCUCUUAUAC